Homo sapiens (human) is the source of this 385-nucleotide long non-coding RNA. Lineage: Eukaryota; Metazoa; Chordata; Mammalia; Primates; Hominidae. The record is from Ensembl.
GGUCAUAGCCCUUAGUCCUUGGGACCUCACUGUGACUGCACACCUACCCUGGGUGACAGCCUCUCUGGGCUGUUGUCUCCUUGUCCCGGUCACAGUCUCCUUUGAGAAUUUGACAAAAGCCAUGAGCCUUUCUGAAGAAAAAAGGCAGCGAUACAAUUUUGCUUAUAACCUCAGGGAGUUUCUGGGGUCCCUGAAGUACAACCGUGGACCCCAAGCUAAGAAUCUCAAAGGCCUUUCCCAGCGUUGUGAUUCUAAUCUCUUCAGCCUUCCUGGCUGUGUGUGGUGUGUCUGCUGACACCUACACACUAGAUACCUAUCUAUGGGUUAUGACCUUUUCUUCUGGCAUGUACUCCAAAAAUACAAUAACCAUGGCCUUAGUAGUCUG